RNAcentral lists this ribosomal RNA (383 nucleotides) under Xylica oedematosa. RNAcentral describes it as "partial 12S ribosomal RNA". Lineage: Eukaryota; Metazoa; Arthropoda; Insecta; Phasmatodea; Bacillidae. The record is from RNAcentral.
UAAACUACGAUUAGAUACCCUAUUAUUUUAUAUGUAAAUUUUACCAGGGUAGUAAUAGUUAUUUUCUUUAAACCUAAAGAAUUUGGCGGUAUUUUAGUCUAUUCAGAGGAACUUGUCCCGUAAUCGAUAAUCCUCGUUUUAUCUUUCUUGUUUUUGUAUUCAGUUUGUAUACCGCCGUUAUAAGUUUAUUUUUUUAGAUUAUUUACUUUAAAUUUAAUUUUAUUUUAUUUCAGGUCAAGGUGCAAUUUAUAAACAAGUGGAGAUGAGUUACAUUAUUUUUGAAUAUAUGAAUUUUAUUUUGAAAUAUUUAUUUGAAAGUGGAUUUGAUAGUAAUUCUAAUUAUAAUAUUUUUUUGAUUUUAGCUCUAAAAUGAGUACACAUCG